RNAcentral lists this ribosomal RNA (474 nucleotides) under Clostridium baratii. RNAcentral describes it as "bacterial SSU rRNA". It matches the Rfam family "Bacterial small subunit ribosomal RNA", at positions 11 to 500 of the family's 1533-position model. Lineage: Bacteria; Bacillati; Bacillota; Clostridia; Eubacteriales; Clostridiaceae. The record is from RNAcentral.
GUUUGAUCCUGGCUCAGGACGAACGCUGGCGGCGUGCCUAACACAUGCAAGUCGAGCGAUGAAGUUUCCUUCGGGAAACGGAUUAGCGGCGGACGGGUGAGUAACACGUGGGUAACCUGCCUCAUAGAGGGGAAUAGCCUUCCGAAAGGAAGAUUAAUACCGCAUAACAUUGCAGUUUCGCAUGAAACAGCAAUUAAAGGAGCAAUCCGCUAUGAGAUGGACCCGCGGCGCAUUAGCUAGUUGGUAAGGUAAUGGCUUACCAAGGCGACGAUGCGUAGCCGACCUGAGAGGGUGAUCGGCCACAUUGGGACUGAGACACGGCCCAGACUCCUACGGGAGGCAGCAGUGGGGAAUAUUGCCCAAUGGGGGAAACCCUGAUGCAGCAACGCCGCGUGAGUGAUGACGGUCUUCGGAUUGUAAAGCUCUGUCUUUGGGGACGAUAAUGACGGUACCCAAGGAGGAAGCCACGGCUAA